CCUACGGGAGGCUGCAGUGAGGAAUAUUGGUCAAUGGACGUGAGGCUGAACCAGCCAAGUAGCGUGAAGGAAGAAGGAUCUAUGGGUUGUAAACUUCUUUUAUAGGGGAAUAAAGGUAUCUAUGCAUGCCUAUUUGCAUGUACCCUAUGAAUAAGCAUCGGCUAACUCCGUGCCAGCAGCCGCGGUAAUACGGAGGAUGCGAGCGUUAUCCGGAUUUAUUGGGUUUAAAGGGUGCGUAGGUGGUUUUUUAAGUCAGCGGUGAAAGUUUGCGGCUCAACCAUAAAAUUGCAGUUGAAACUGGAAGACUUGAGUGUAGUAGAGGUAGGCGGAAUGCGUGGUGUAGCGGUGAAAUGCUUAGAUAUCACGAAGAACUCCGAUUGCGAAGGCAGCUUACUGGGCUGCAACUGACACUGAAGCACGAAAGCGUGGGGAUCAAACAGGAUUAGAUACCCCAGUAGUC
RNAcentral lists this ribosomal RNA (460 nucleotides) under uncultured bacterium. Its description in RNAcentral is "partial 16S ribosomal RNA". It matches the Rfam family "Bacterial small subunit ribosomal RNA", at positions 338 to 795 of the family's 1533-position model. The record is from RNAcentral.